Molecule: transfer RNA, 136 nt
Filed under: Candidatus Thorarchaeota archaeon AB_25
Lineage: Archaea; Promethearchaeati; Candidatus Thorarchaeota
Description: tRNA-Arg
Rfam family: tRNA
About the family: Transfer RNA (tRNA) molecules are approximately 80 nucleotides in length. Their secondary structure includes four short double-helical elements and three loops (D, anti-codon, and T loops).
Source: RNAcentral
GGGCCGGUGGUCUAGCCCGGCUAUGAUACUGUUCUUCGGAACGGAAUCGCCGAGUGAUACCGCAUUGACAUGCGAGCCUGACUCCCACGCACGCUCAAACGUGCGGUGGUCACGAGUUCAAAUCUCGUCCGGCCCA